GACAGAGGUGCCGAGCGUUAGGCGGCAUCACUGGGCUUAAAGCGUGUGUAGGCGGACCGUUCAGUGUCUUGUGAAAUCCCACGGCUCAACCGUGGAACGGCUGGGCAUACUGGCGGUCUUGAGCGGUCCAGGGGCGAGCGGAACAAGCGGUGGAGCGGUGAAAUGCGUAGAUAUCGCUUGGAACGCCGACGGUGAAAACAGCUCGCUGGGGACCCGCUGACGCUGAGACACGAAAGCCAGGGGAGCGAACGGG
RNAcentral lists this ribosomal RNA (253 nucleotides) under uncultured bacterium. RNAcentral's name for it is "partial 16S ribosomal RNA". It matches the Rfam family "Bacterial small subunit ribosomal RNA", at positions 524 to 776 of the family's 1533-position model. The record is from RNAcentral.